AAAACAUAGUAUAAUGUAAUACAUUUCACUUACACUGAAAAUAUACUUGGAUAUCAAGUUGUUUU
RNAcentral lists this transfer RNA (65 nucleotides) under Neobuccinum eatoni. Its description in RNAcentral is "transfer RNA-Val". It matches the Rfam family "tRNA". Rfam says of the family: Transfer RNA (tRNA) molecules are approximately 80 nucleotides in length. Their secondary structure includes four short double-helical elements and three loops (D, anti-codon, and T loops). The record is from RNAcentral. Lineage: Eukaryota; Metazoa; Mollusca; Gastropoda; Neogastropoda; Buccinidae.